AAACAAAAAGUGCAUGCCAUGUGUACCCCCUG
This 32-nucleotide transfer RNA is filed under the name Gyrodactylus botnicus. RNAcentral's name for it is "partial tRNA-Trp". The record is from RNAcentral. Lineage: Eukaryota; Metazoa; Platyhelminthes; Monogenea; Gyrodactylidea; Gyrodactylidae.